AAGAUUGCUGAACUCAUUUUCAUGCAUGGCUAAACACAGAAUUGAACCAUGUGCUCCAGGAGUGAAAGUUUCCAGUCUCCAACAUGAGUUAAGGGCACAGACCUCUCACUUGCAAUGAAUUGUGAAAAUCAGUUUCUCAGGAGCAGCAGCGGUGGCCAUUCUGAGGAAAUGAAUGUCUGUGAACAGGGUUUGGAUUAGUAAAUGUACAUGAGGUGAUAUGUGGAAUAAAAAGGAAAAAAUGUAUUAAAUAGCUGCUCGCUAGUGAGCACUGACAAUUCUGUGUACAGAAUGAAGCAAACAUCCUGUGGAAAACAGUGUGUAAGGGUGUAUUUGAAGGCUGUGGAUUGCGCAAGAAAGCCAAAUAAAGAUUGCACAAGCGCUUUGA
Apus apus (common swift) is the source of this 385-nucleotide long non-coding RNA. RefSeq lists it as uncharacterized. Lineage: Eukaryota; Metazoa; Chordata; Aves; Apodiformes; Apodidae. The record is from RefSeq and is a predicted model, not a curated record. The transcript is spliced from 2 exons.